This is a long non-coding RNA of Heterocephalus glaber (naked mole-rat), 1716 nucleotides long. The record is from Ensembl. NCBI's taxonomy places the organism in Eukaryota, Metazoa, Chordata, Mammalia, Rodentia, Bathyergidae.
UCUUAAUAACUAUUACCACACUCAGAAUAAAGAGAAGUUCUAUUACAAAAAAAAAAAAGCAUUCUGGACCACCCCAGGCCCCAGAGGACCUCGGACGCGGUGGGGUGGGGUGGGGUGGGAAGGCGAGUGGAGCCCAAACAAGCGACUGCACAUUAACACCUGGGUGACAGGCAUUCGCUCGCUCACCCAGGCUGUGCCACUGUCUGAAGCAGUGACCGAGGUGACAACGAGAUCGUGGGGAUUCGGGGUUUUCUUCUCUUUUAACGGAGAGGCCGGGCCGGCGAGCCCCGGCCGGCGCCCGGACACCUAGGGGCCUCAGGGAGGAGGGCGGCUGCCGCGGAGGCUCGCGUUCGCGAGCUUCGGAGCCCGGGACGGACGGCACCAGACAGUAGCCACGAGGGAGGCGCCCAAAGCCCCCGGGGCCAGACGGGGCCGCAGGGUCUCCUCUGGGGUCAGAGCCCCCAAGACACCCGGUCUCUCGGGGGCCAGAGACACUAAGUCCCAACCUCCUGGACUGCCAGCCUCAAGUCCACCCCUCACCGCGACGGGACUGGAGAACUGAACACGUGCACGAGCCAGCAACCCGCGAAACGCUCCGGCCUUAGCCGCCGCCACAGACACAACCCGCGCGCACACACGCUCGGACCUCGGCGCCGCAGCCACAGGUCUCGCCAGGUCACGGGAGUCGGAGCCUCACGCUCGGCCCUACCGGGCCACCGUACUCAGAGCUACAGCCUCGCGCCAAUCCCCGGCCGGCCGCCGUACUGAGAGGGACAGCUUCAAGCAGAAGCCGGCCUUUUCCGUGCAGUAACGCCCUCCCACUGCGGCCGCCGCCUAUGGUCUGGAUCGCUUUCUCCACCUGCUCUUCCCCGCUCUCACCCAGUCACCACUGCGGCGAGCGAGCAUCUUUAAGCGAGCUCUACGUGGGACAGCAUCUGUAAGCAGUGUCACUCUGGUAGACAAACCGCAUCACGGUCUUCCGAGGCCUAACGAAAAAUUGGAUUUCAACUCCCAGCAUGCCAGGAGUGCUCCAACCUGAGCUACAGCGAGGACUCAUAAUUAGGCACUUGAAAAACAUUCCGAGAUAUGUCCACUCAUUUUCUACAUUCAGAUUCAAGUAUUGAAGCAAAACAGUCUUUGGAGAGGCCUCAUUCUUGAGAGAUGUCGAGAGAAAUACUAAAUUAUUGCUCAAUGUACUCCUGGGUCGUGUUGCAGUACCGCAUAUACUAGUGGUCCAAAGGUUACCAGACAUGAUCCUGACGUGCAUAGGAAGUUACAGUAGACAAGAAGUAAAAUAAUAAUAAUAAUAAUAAUAAUAAUAGGGGCCGGGGAUUUAGCUCAGUGGCACCGCGCCUGCCUUGCAAGCGCAAGGUCCCGAGUUCGAUCCCCGGUACCAAAAUAAUAAUAAUAACAGCAACAACAAUCCAUACUGCCAGACUAUGAAGCCAUGGCAGAAUGAAAACCUUACAGAAUGAAGGGUUGAAAAGUUCAAUAUUAAACUUGAAACAUGUAUUUAAAUUUUUAAGGUGUUUAGCGGUUUGCAAUCAUUUAUUUGUAUUAUUCUCACAAAAACAGGUAACUAGCGUAACCAAAUCUAUUUAUUUUCCAUUCACAUGAUGGACCCACCAAAGAAACAGUCGAACGGUAUGACAAGAAAACAAAUGGGACAUUUAUUAAAGUGAGCAAACAAAGUAACUUUCCUUGCCUGAAUAAACA